This is a non-coding RNA of Mycena polygramma, 94 nucleotides long. NCBI's taxonomy places the organism in Eukaryota, Fungi, Basidiomycota, Agaricomycetes, Agaricales, Mycenaceae. The record is from the annotation of a GenBank genome assembly.
GGCCUAGUAGCGUAACGGUUAACGCGCCACUCUGAUAUACGAUGGUUGUUAGCAUAUUCUUGUGGAGUCCCUCGUUCGAUUCGAGGCUAGGCCG